GGGCAUGCUGAGGCUUCCCAAGGUGGCCUCUACUAACUGUGACAGCUUUUCCAUCGUCCAGCCAUAUAUAUCAAUAAUACGAUCACGUUCUCACUAAGGAGGAAGGCGCUGGACCAAUGAUUUUUGCUGGAUUAUCACAUCCAUUCCUCGCAGGCGAUCAGGCAUAGGAGGUGAUUGAUUGAUUUUCAGAAAUAAGCUCUUUGCUCACACUAGAGGAUGCCCUGCCCCAGAACUGCAUCCCAGCUCCCUGGCAGUGAGAGCCUCCUGCUGAGAUUCACCCAAGUCAAAGCAGAUCUGCUGCUCUUCUGCCAACAGUCGCCUGUAUUUUAAAUGGGUGUGCCUGGUUUUUAUCUAUCUAAUGAAUUUACAAAGAGCAAUCAAGUGUCUCUGAUAUCGAAGCUUUCUGGGAAGAGAUACCAUUUCUUUGAAAGGUGCUACUGCUCCCCCUUGACCAGUGAGUGCCUAAGACAACCUUUGUGCCCUUCUCUCCUGGAGGUGAUCUCUUUUGUUAAAGCAGACAGCUGAGUUAGGAAAUGCUACCCAGUGCUCAUACGGGGCAUAAAUGCCCUGGCCAGAGGUGGGCAGGAAUGUGGGUGUCAGAGCCUGGAUUAAAAGCAGCACAGCUCAUUGUGCCCGCUGCUGAGCAGAGAGGAUCGUGCCAUUUUCCUGGAUGUCUGCUUAGCUUCUGUUUCUGACUCACAGAUAGUCAAUGCAGGUGAAGGAACUUCCUUAAAUUGUCACGUCAAGAACAAGAAGACAAGGUUUCCUCCUUUCUGUUCUUCCCACAUCAGGGACUGUAGCUACCACGAGGGCAAAUAUCCUUCAGGACACAUUUUUCCCAGUCUUCAAGUCUACCACUGCCAUGAAGGACUGGGCAGCACCACUGCUCAGCCCGAAUCUGAAUGUUGUCCUUCAUGAGCUGCUGUGUUUCUAUACAUUGAUGCCCUUGGAGAUGUUUUUAAAUAAAAUUAUGAGCGUGGUCCAACAUCUGUCUUCCCAUGAGACUAAUGAGUUCUGGACUAGCUUUAUCUUAAAUUUCAGUAUGAAAGGUAUUUUCUGUUUCAGAUGGUUUCAGCAUUCGAUUAAAGGCUGAUUAAACAUUAACAUAAAAGAUGUUGACAUUUUAAAAAAUGCCAUUGUAAUUGUGUCAAUUUACAUUCUAAAUUAAUACAAUUAUCUAAACGAGCAAACCGUACCAUAAAACUGUUAGCUGCUGCUGCUACUAACCAGCAGCUGCAAUCUGACCCAUUAAUCAAUUACCUAGAUAAAGUUAAAACAGUCUCAAGUUUCAAUUACACAUAAAGAAAGUUUCAUUUCAAAAAAUCAAUUUAUAUGCAAGUCAAAGUUGCACUGCAGGCAUGAAAGAGUAUAAUAUUUUGGAUAAUCGGCUUUAGGAAAAAAUACAAAUUACAAAAAUAUCUCCAAAAGAAAGUAUCUUUAAUUGCAUAUAAAGUAGUUUAUGAUUAUUUCCUGUAAUUAAAGCUGUGAUUUGCUGGGACUAAGCCUUUUUUGCAGAUGAGUAAGGUAUUUUUGAUUCGCACAGUCCUCACUAAACCAGAAAAGCAGAGCGUUUGCUGUAUUUAAAUGCACGGUCAUAGACUUGGCUUUUCAUGUAUUAUUUAAAUUCAACCCAAAUGUAAUUACAAGCCUUUGUGUAAGAUCCGAAGGGGACGUGACAAGGCUGACUGUCUGGCCUCUUCCUCACCAUGGUACUGACCCUGAUGGAAAGCUGAGGUUUACUCGGGGCCUCGCUCUGGGACUGUGUGGUUCCUCUGGCAGGAUGGACGUGGCAACACGAGAGGGGAGGGGACUCCCCAUGCCCCUGGAGGUGAUGGUCCCAUGCAACCAGCUCUACUCACACCAUGGUAUGGCCCACGGCCGCCAGCCCCAGCUCCUGCCUUCUUCCCUGCUCCCUCGGAGCCUCAGGCAAGUCCAUGAACUGCUGGUCUUUGUUCCUGCAUUUUUUAUAAGAGGAUUAGAGGCCUCCCGUCUUCCUCCUGGGAUUCUCUCAAGUGUUUAUACAGCACUAGCAAUCCAGGCUGAGAAAAGGAGUCAUUUUGUGGGCAGGAUGCUGAUGACCCAGGCCAGGCAGGACGUAUGAUCAAGAGCAGAAGCACAUCUCACAGCAGCCACAAAGCCCUGCAUGCAACCUGGAGACGCCAAAGGGAAUGAGGCCAGGAACAGUACAGAAAGACAAACCCAGGACACCGUAACACAUGUGGGGGCAGAGAGAGAAAAGACUUAUUUACCGAAACGUAAGAUCCCAGAGGUGAGGCCAGGGAGACGGUCAGAAAUCCUCCUCCUUUACUUCCAAAAGUUUGAAUUUAUGGUGAAGUCUGUAAUAAUCCUUGAAAGCUGCCAGCUUUCCUGGAGAUUAUGUCAGCGCCUUGCUUUCAUCAACACAGAUCAGGCAGACCUGGCAGAUGCGUGGUGUCCGAAGCUGUUGCCAGAGCUUGCAUUACCUAUGUAAAUAAAAGGAUUUUGUUCCUCGUCUCUUCAGGCGUGCAGGUGGAGGGUGCUUUGGUGCCCAGCCAUGGGGUUGGCUUGCAAGGGGACAAAGCAUGGUGUGAAGAAAAACCACCAGGCUGGGGGGCACCCCCUGGUUUGUUACACAGCGGUAGGUUAUUUGCCUUGCAACCAUAUCCCAAAGCCCUUCCACAAAUAAAGGCAGCCCUUGUCUCCACGAGCUUUUCCUUCCAGGAUAGGAUACCACAUGCAGGAUGGCAAACCUGUGGGGUGGGGAAGAGACUAUCUGUGUGCACAGCUGGGAGGUUUCAGGUCACCACAUUAGCUAACCAUUACUAAUCCUCGCUGACAUUUUACCUGGCUGUGAUUGUACUGUUGAUUUGUGGUAGGUUAUCAGGGUAGAAAUGGGUCCCAAGGAGGCACAUCCAGGGAGGGAUUUAUCUGAAUAAACGAAGCCUGGAGGAAACCAUUAAUACGUAGUGGAAGAUACGUACAAUGUUCAGAGCUGACCUUGCUGGCAGAGGUGAUACAAUAUGACCUGACAACAUCAAACACAUUUUUUUUCCCCUAAUGUUUACUUGCUGCAAACUAGGGGUCAGUUUGCUAUACUCAGAUAUGAUGGUUGAAACAGACCUGAGAAGAAAGCUCACAAAAAUGAAACAAUUACCGAUCUUGAUUUCUGGCCCAUUUUUUUUGGUUAUGGACUUGUCAGGGUUUAGAGCAACCUAGAAGACAAAUGACAUGAUAUCCAAGGGACAAUCUCUUGACUGUACAUACCGGGAUAUUUCAUGUUCCAGCUGCACUGUUUGACACAGAGAUUAGAAAAUAGUGUCGUGUUGGCUACUACCCUGAUAGAUCUUUCACAGUGGGGAAAUUCCCACCAUGGAUAAU
Non-coding RNA from Anas platyrhynchos (mallard), 3357 nucleotides. The record is from RefSeq and is a predicted model, not a curated record. Lineage: Eukaryota; Metazoa; Chordata; Aves; Anseriformes; Anatidae.